Molecule: long non-coding RNA, 8621 nt
Filed under: Capsicum annuum
Lineage: Eukaryota; Viridiplantae; Streptophyta; Magnoliopsida; Solanales; Solanaceae
Description: long non-coding RNA (CANN_LNC017127)
Source: RNAcentral
GCAUCACAUGGGGAUAUAGUAUCUGAUAAUGAUGAGCGGGUUGAGUGCUAGCAUGUAACACAGGGCAAGGAUAAAAUAAUGUCAGUUAAAAGUUAAAUUUCAAACUCACUAUACAUGUUCAUAUGCAUAUGUAUAUAUAGUAGAUGUUGGGGUAGGGAACAAGGUUUAGCAUGAUAGUAAAACAUUAUCUAGGACUAUGUAGCUAAGCUGUCAUAAACAGGCACCCACGGGCUAUAUGGGUUCAGCUUUCCCUGCUAAAAGAGCCCCAGUGUGUGUUAACCGCAUGAACCAGAGGCAUCAAGGAAGACCAAAAAAUGCCCCGAGCCCACGUCAACCUAGAUACAAAAUGUAUCAAUAGUGUGAACCAUACACACGGUCAUCUAGACCAACCCUCAAGUCGGUAAAUGUGAGUUUCCAGUAUAAGUCAUUCAAGACUCACACCUUCACCUCUUAGCUACAUAACACCCAUUAAUCCCAAUUAAAACAACUUUCACAUAACCCAUUCAUUAACCAAGGAAUCAUAUAUUAAGGCACACCAUGGUAUUGUCAUACCUAUUUAGCUUGCAAGCUUAUACUUAUGCCAUUACAAUUCCAUUAACUUGAGGGAAUGCCUCGACACCCUUUGUUCAUUAUAUCAAGUUGGAGGAAUGCCUCAACCUCCUUUAGUUUAUCAAAAUAAAACAUAGCCAACAAGGCUUCAAAAUCUAUUUUUAUUGUUUAAUCAUUUAUGUAAUGCUAUAGUAUAGGUUAGUAAAUCAAACUAAGUGACAAUUCCAUAAUUCAAAGCCAUUUACACAAGUGGGUUCAGGGAAUACAAUUAUUCAAAAUUAAUUUCCAAGUUCAAAACAUCAAUUUGAGGGAUUUUAUCGACCCUCAUUUUAAUUCCCCCGCCCAUGCACCCUAUUAGUUCAAAAACAUCCACUUCAAAGCAUGAACAACUCAUGAAAACCAUGGGAAAAUAAUUCAAGGAUCAACCAUUUCAAAACCAUCAACCCGUGUUAAAACUCACAUUAAAAUCCAUACAAUUAAACCAUUUAAAAUACGUUCUUUUCACAAAAUAAGAUUUGGAGAAGAGUAACAUGCUUGAGAUAUUACGAUUUACGAAAAGAAAUUAACCCUUGGAAGUUCUAGAGACCAAUUUCUUAAAACCCUAGCUUAUUCAUGCCUUAGGGAUUUAAGAGAGUUUAGGAGAGUGUUGAUGACUGGUAGGUAUUGAAAAUAAUGCCCAAAGGUGAUUUAUGGUUGUAGGAUCUAAGUAGGGGAAAAGGGAAAUGACCAGAAUGUCUUUAAUAAAUAGACUAAAAAUUAACCACACAAUCGCUACGGGUCACAUGAUGACUCAUAAUGACUGGAUAUGAGUCAUUUCUUAGACUCAGAGUUUGGUCAGUAUCAUAGGUAUGCACACUGGUCUGACUAUGAUUCGUACCUUAUAACUCAUACUCAGACCUUAUGACUCGUAUGGUCUAGUUGUUGUAUUGGAAGAAACAUUUAGGCAUCCUUACUGGUUAGGCUACGAAAACCGCUAUAUGACUUGUAAUGGGUCUUGACAACUCAUUGGGUGAUAAUCAUGACCAAUACAAAGACUUUUCCAAACACACUGGUCAGGCUACGAUUACAGUCCUACAACUCAUAUGAUAAGUCUUAGUCUGGGCAGUGAGCUCAGAGGUUAAAAAAAUUUUAAGGGCCAAAAUCUGGGGUGUAAGUAUACAUUCAUAAUUUAUCAAAGUCUAACAACUAAAUGGAAGAAAAGACAUAUUUAUAGUCUAGGGUUAAUUAUUACAUCAUAUGGGCCAAAAAAUUAUCCAUUUGGGAAAGACAAAGCAUAGAAGCCCAUUAAGAAUUCCCUUAGGCAAUCCAAGCACACAUGGGAUGCAUCUUCAAGUCAUGUGAGUUAUUUUUGACCCACUCUAGCAGAUCUAGAGUCGGUUGGGCACACCUACAAAGCAGAUGGGGUGCAUUCUCCUUUCGGGGGCUUUCUAGCCUCAUUUUGCCUUUCUUUGGCCUCUUUAAUAUCUCUCGUUCCUCCUCAAUCAUCAUAAUAAUUCAAUUAGCACCUUUUGGAUAGAACCAAUGAGCCUUCAAGUGCCUCUUGAACUAUAAGCCUCUUCUCUAAUAAUCUGGAGGCCAUUUGGAUUGUAUUACAAUACAAGUUAUGGCAUGGAUUUUAUUUCCUGAUCUUUUACCUACUUUUUUUGUGAUGAAUCACUUUUUUCAUUAGAAGAAACUAUGGGAAAAACCAUCCAUCUUGAUAUGUCCACUAUUAACAAGGCCCGACCUAGUUGUGCGAGGGUGAAAGUCCAAAUUGAUUUAGCAACUAAGUUACCUGAUAAAGUGGAGAUAGAAGUGAAUAAAACAAAAGAAGCAAGGAUUCAAUCAGUCAAAACUCGAUAUGAUAUGCUUCCUAAAUAUUGUUUCAAGUGUAAAGUUCAAUGUCAUGAGAAGGUGGAGUAUAGAAUUUUACAUUCAGAAUUGAAAAAUUAUGUGCAAAAAAGACAUAAAUAGGAAGUUAGUUUUUGCUAAAUGGAAUCCUACAAGUCAAAAAUUUCAAAUUGAAAAAGGAACCAACAAAUUUCUAGAUAAUGUUGUAGACAUGAAAAAUGAGGAAAAGGUGUUACAGGCCAAUAAAACAAUCAGUACUAAGAACUCAUUUGGCAUCCUUCAACAACAAGAUGAAGGCAGUUAACUUACUCAAGCUACGGGAACAAUGACCUCAAUGGUGGAGGGAAAGGAAAAUAUGAAGAAGAAGAAAAAUAAUGUAAAAGAAAAGCUGAGUAACAUGCAAAAUAUAGAUCAACAUAAAUCUGUUUAGUAGAAAUAAAAUAGGAAAAAUAUAUAUUCCAUGAGUUAAUAUGGAUAAUCAGGUGGAGGGAUGUAUUACAACUGACAAGGACAACAUCAAUGAGACUAGCAACAAUAGUUGUUCAAUGGGAACUGCAGAACCUAUUCAUGAUAAAUAUAUGAUAUUAAAUGUAGUGGAUCACAAAGAUACUCAACAACUUACAUGUACCAACAAAAAUCUAAGGAAAAGAGGCAGAAGUAUAUUGCUAGAACAGGGGAAUGUAGGUGUAAAUCAAAAUAAAUUACAUAGUAGUGGAAAAUACAUAGAAGACAUUCAUAGAAACAAAGAAAGUCCACAAAUGCAAAAAAAAAAACAUGUUGAUUAUUGAUAGUCACAGUGCAAGAGGAGGUGAUAUUGUGAAUAAUGAUAUACCUGAUGACAUACAUUCAAAUAGGGUUCAAUUAGCCCUUGCUCAAGCUACAUAAAAUGAGGCACUUUAGGUGGAUGAAUCAGGUGUUAGAGGUGAUGAGGGAUUUCUUCCAAAUAGCAUAGAAGGGGAGGCAAGUAAUCUGGCAUUAGCAGCAUUGAAAAAAUCAAACAACAAAAAAUUACAUAAUUUGGUUUCCCACCAAAUAACAAAAGAGGUAAAUCAUGAAAGUACAGAUACAGAUGACAUAUGGAUAAAAGAUACAGAAGAAGGAAAUAAUCAAAAAAAACUAAACCAAGUAAUGAAAGAAGCAGGUUUAUCACCACGUGCAAAUAACAAAGGUAAAAAGAGUAGGAUCAAAGUUGAAAAGCCUACAAGGACCAGUUCUAGGAGGGGUGGUAAAGCCAGCAUUCAAUGAAUUUAAAAGCACUUUUCUGGAACAUCAGAUUAGUUAGGUCACAACAUGUUUUCCACAUAGUACAAAUGUUACAUAGGCAUCAUAUUACUUUUAUUGCUUUGAUGGAGUCUUUUCAAGAUAUCAGACACAUAUAGAGGUAUAAAAGAAUAUUGGGCAUGAAAUAUACAAAUUAUAAUAUGAAUGUAAAGAUAUGGAUUUUUGUUUAAAAAAAUAUACAGGUGGAGACAUUAGCAUAUUCUGAUCAGCAAAUCACAUUUUAGCUAGUUGUUCAGAAUGAUCAAUAGGUGAUUAUUAUAGCUGUUUAUGCUAAAUGUGAUGUAAGUGAAAGAAUUGCUUUAUGGGAUCUAUUUACUCAUUGAGUCAUAAUGUUAGAGUAUCUUGGAUGGUAAGGGGACUUUAAUGUUAUCAUGAAUGAAGAAGAGAAAAUUGGAGGAUUACCAAUGUAUCCUAAUGUAUAUGAACAUUUUGCUUUCUACAUCAACCCCUGUGAUCUAUUUGAUAUUAAUUUAAAAGGGAGUCCAUUCACUUAGUGGAAUGGUAGGGCAGAUGAUCCAUGUAUUUUUAAGAGAUUAGACAUAAUCGUUAUUAACUAAGAGUUUUUGGGCAUUAUGGGGCGUAUUGAGGUUGAACAUCUAUCCAGGACACGAUCAGAUCAUGCUCCUUUGUUAUUCUCUUGUAGUGAUGAAAAUGUUCAGUUUCACAAGCCUUUUAGGUUUUUGAAAUUUUGGACUGAGAAAGAGGACUUCAAAGAAAUGGUAAGAUAGAAUUAGGUAUCAAAAAAAUGUAGGCAUAUCUUUAUCAAUUUAAAGCAAAAAAUGAAGAAAACCAAAAUGGCUCUAGCUUUAUGGAGCAGAUUCAUGUUUGGAGAUAUAUUUAAAUAAUUAGUCAUCAAGAAAUACAUAGUAAGAAUCAAAAAUGAUUUGUUUGAAGAAAGUCCUACUACUACUAACAAAAUAAUUUUUCAGAAGGCACAGGCUGAGUUGAGGUAGUGUUUACAUUAUGAAGAAGAGUAUUGGAGAUAAAAAUCUGGUAUUCAAUGAUUUUCAGAAGAGAAGGAAAUAUGAAAUUCUUUCUGGUGAAUGCUAGAAGGAAAAAGCUAGAAAUAACUAGAAUUUAGAGAGUUGAUGGUUCUUGGGUUGAAGAUAAUAAUUAGGUAGCUGUAGAAAUAAUUGAUUUCUACCAGAAAUAAUUCACUGGAUCAGUUGAGUCUGGUGCAUAUUCUUUUAUUAAUUUGAUUUCUACCCUAAUCACAAAAUAAGAGAAUAAUUUGUUGAAGGUUUGUCCUGACACUGAAGAAGUUAAAAAGGUAGUUUCUAAACUGAAUGGGGAUAACGCUUGUGAGCCAGAUGGUUUCACUGGACAUUUUCAUCAGUUUUGAUGGGACAUUGUUAGUGGUAAUAUUGUGAAGGUAGUUCAUGUAUUUUUUAUGUAAUGACACUGCCUAAAUCUAUCACUCAUACUAAUUUGGUUCUAUUGCCAAAUAAAGAGAAGGUCAAGAGAGAAGGUCUUGACCUUCUUUGACUUAAGACCUAUUAGUUUGAGUAAUUUUCCAAACAAAAUCAUAUUUAGAAUUCUUCAUGAUAAAUUAUAAGGUUUCUUACCUAGGCUCUCUCAAAAUCAAUCUGAUUUUGUUAAGGGAAAAAUUAUCACAGAUAAUGUAUUAUUGGCCAAGAAAAUUAUAUGCGAUAUUAAAAAAGGGAGUAAGGCUGCAAAUAUGGUAAUUAAGCUUGAUAUGACCAAAGUCUACGAUAGAGUGGAGUGAAAUUUUUUUAUGGAAAUGUUGGAGAAAAUGGGCUUCUCAAAUGUCUUUACUGAUAUGAUAUGGAGACUAGUAGCCAAAAAUUGGUACUCUAUCCUAAUAAAUAGGGAAGUUCAUGUCUUCUUCCAUUCUUCUAGAAGAGUAACGCAAUGGGGUCCUUUAUCCCCUUCUUUAUUUAUUAUUAUUGCUGAAGUUAUAACAGGGCACUUAAUAAUUUAUUCUCAUAUGAUGAUUUCAGGAGUUAUGGACUGACUAAAUAGAGUGAUCAAAUAAAUCAUCUUGCUUAUAUUGAUAAUACAAUAAUAUUUUUUUUGCUGACAGGUUUUCAUUGUAAUUAAUUAUGCAGAUCUUAAGAGAAUAUGAAAACCAAUCGUGUCAACAGGGAAAAGAGUGCCUUUUAUGUACAUAACAAGGUUACUCAUGCACAUGUUUAAUUGGUGGAGCAUUGUACUGGCUUUUCCAAGAGGUAAAUUUCCAUUGACAUAUCUGGUUGUGCUAUUGGACAUGCUAGGAAAAGAAAGAUUAAUUUUUUAGAGCUAUUAAAGAAGGUACAAAAUAAACUUCAGUUAUGGAAAGGCAAACUAUUAUCAUUUGGAGGUAAAGUUGUGUUGAUUAAUAAUGAUUUGCAGAGUAUCCUCAUUUAUCAAUUAUUCGAUCUUAUACCUCCAAAAUGUGUGAUUCAUGAUCUUUAUAGAUUUUUUGCUAAAUUUCUAUGGAACUUUAGAAAAAGAGGGAGGAGUAAACACUAGGUCUCUUGGACUAAUAUAUGUCUACCAAAAAAGGAAAGUGGUAUUGAUUUUAGAUCUUUUUUUUAUGUGUCUAAAUCCUUAUUUUCAAAGCUAUGGUGGUAUUUUAGAAUACAAAAAAAUAAUGUGGACUAAUUUUAUGAGAACAAGUACUGUAAAAGGCAUAGACCACAAGUAGUUGAAUGGAAAGGUGGUUCUCAAGUUUGGAAGUUUAUGUUACAGGCUCGAGAUUAUUUUGACCAAGAAAUAUGGUGGAAAUAUAAGUGUGGACAUGUUAGUAUUUGGUCAGAUAAUUGGACUCAAAAGGGAGCUUUACACUAUUAUCUCCCAUUAAACUAUAAUAAUAAUGGAUGAUUGGAAGAUGUGCAUCAAUUAAUGAAUCAUGAUGGGUGGAAUAGGGAUCUACUUAAGGAAAUUUUUUCUGAAGAUAGAUGCAAUCAUGUACUUAAUAAGAUUGGGACAAUAGGAUAUUUUAAUGCUUGGGAUAAUCCAUGGUGGAUGCCACAAGGUUCUAGAAAAUUUACAAUUAAAAGUGGUUGGACUAUCAUAAGACAGUCUGGGAAUGUCAAUGAGGAUUUAAGGUUUAUAUGGGAAAAGGGUAUACCUUUCAAAGUAUCUUUCUUCUUCUUGAGUUAUGAAAGAAAAUAUUACCUACAGGUGACUUUCUAGUCAGUACAUGAUGGGAAGAAAUGACUAAUUGUGUUUGUUGUGAGUUACCAGUUCAUGAAUCCUAUGAACAUCUCUUUGUUCAGUGUUCUGCAGCUAAUAAUUUGUGGAUAGUUUUUGCAUCAAUAUUGAAGUGUAGGGCCCUUUUCUUCAUUUAAAAUAUGUUAUCUACAAGUGGUGGAAUGCUAAUUAUUGUGCUAAACUUAGGCCCCUAUUUAUUGUUAUUCCUGUUUUCAUACUGUGGAAAAUAUGGAAAGAAGAAACAUCAUCAAACAUGAAGGUAGGAUGUCAAUUCAUGGCAUACAAUAGGAAAUAAAUUGGAAUCUGUAUUUGUUUGCUAAGAUAAGAUAUCCUUGGCUUAAUAAUAUCCCUAGUAACUGGCCUAUGAUGGUUAUGUUCUUGGAAGUUUAUAAACCUAAUAUCCAGGCUACUGUGGUCAAGUGGAAGCCUCCUAUCAAUGGUUUUUAUAAGUGCAAUAUUGAUGGUGCCUCUAAAGAUAACCCUUGUCCUAGUGGUGGUGCUUUCUGUAUUAGAGACAGUAAAGGGAAAUUUAUUUUUGCUAAGUCAUUCUCUUUUGAUAUCUUAACUAACUUAGAGAAAGAAUUUGUUUCCUUUAAGAAGGGUUUAGAGUAACGUGUGAGUCAAAAGUUGUUAACAGUUACUAUGAAAUAGAUUCUCUCAUUCUUAAGAAAAUCCUAGAUGGAAUCUGGGAGAUUUCCUGGAAGGUUUCUAUAUAUAUCAAAAGAAUUCAAUGGUUGAAGAGGCAAUGUCAGGUGGAGGUGUUGCAUACGCUAAGGGAAGGGAACAAACUGGUGAAUUUUUUAGCUAAUGAAGUUUUCUUUUUAGCAGGUACGCAAAAUAUAAUACACAUUGCUACAGGAUAUUGCAGAUGAAGGAAAAAUAAUUAUAAAAAUGGACAAGCAUUAAAUCCCAUCACUGAAGUUUGUCAAAUAACAUUUUUUUCUAUAUAAAAGGCAGUCAUAUUAAAUAACAUACCAGAUCUGAGAUAGCAAAUAACAAGAAAUGCAAAGGUCAAGGCACAUACAGAGGGGGAAUUGAUCCAAAUAGAGGUACAUAUAGCUAUAUUAACAUUGAUUGUCGAGCAAUAAAGUACAAGUACAUAUGUACAUUUUAGACUAGUGCAUGCGACAUGGGUAAAAUACUAAGCUUCAGAAAAGAGGGUUUUGUACCUUUUUCAUGCUUACUCAAAUCAUCUAAGUUAAUGUCCUUUGUCAGUGGUAUCAGCUUCUUGUUGAGCUCAACCUGUCAAGGGUAUGAUUUAGAUAAUCCAAUUUAAACAUUAGAUUAGGUAAUGGAGGAUUUUGGGAAAGAUUUACGUUUACCUGAGGAUCAAAUGUCUCAAUUUGUUCUAAGGGGAGUUGAUGAAGUCUUCCUAUAAUCCGAUUUCAUGGCAUUUGUGAGACAAUUAUAAAUGUCUAAAAUGAAAUUCAUAACUUCACUAAUGGACAGAUUUGAGCUAAAUACAUGGUGUUGGCUUAAGCUUUCCCUUUUAAUCCGUCAGUGAGGCAGUUUCAGCUUUAUAAUCCGUGUGGGGAAGAUGAAAAUGCAUAAGAAUUUUUCUAGAUACUUAUCAUACUUUUUUAUAUGACAUUCAUAGUUGCAACAACUACAGGGGCAUUAAGUUGUUGAGUCACACUAUGAAGAUUUGGGAGAAAGUGGUUGAGCGGAGGUUGAGGAGGAGUGUGUCUAUUUCGGAGAAUCAGUUUGGAUUUAUGCACUGCCGCUCGACGGAGGAGGAAAUUUACCUGGUGUGGAGACUAAUGGAGACGUAUAGGGAGUGAAAGACGGACCUCCACAUGGUUUUC